CUUUUGAAUUCCUUGCCAGAGAGAGGUCCAUUUGCCUCGUGCUGAAAGUGACCAGUCAGUAGUAAAAGUGCAGGAUUAAAGAAGACCAGGGAAAAGUGAAAUGGCUGUGAGCUUCUCUCUGUGACCCAACAUGUUCACAUGGUCAUGGUUUUUUUAGUGCUGAGAAGAGAAAAGGGGUUUUCCUCCACACUGUUGUCAAAUCACAACCAAUUGCCAUUGCACCCACAGCAGCAGCUUGAACCCUUCCAAGUACCUUCCAAGCUAUCCUCAAAGGGGGGACCUGGAGAGGGGCCUCAGAAGAAGACCUAAGGGUCUGGAUAAAGAAGAUAAGAAGCUGAUCCAACUAAAAAGGCUAGUCAAUUUUUUGUUAAAAUAGAGCAAGUCAAGGAUAGAUGAAGGUUUAAA
This is a long non-coding RNA of Rhineura floridana, 405 nucleotides long. RefSeq lists it as uncharacterized. The transcript is spliced from 4 exons. Lineage: Eukaryota; Metazoa; Chordata; Lepidosauria; Squamata; Rhineuridae. The record is from RefSeq and is a predicted model, not a curated record.